RNAcentral lists this long non-coding RNA (270 nucleotides) under Lathyrus oleraceus (garden pea). RNAcentral describes it as "Pisum sativum (pea) long non-coding RNA (PSAT_LNC010566)". Lineage: Eukaryota; Viridiplantae; Streptophyta; Magnoliopsida; Fabales; Fabaceae. The record is from RNAcentral.
AUGAGUAUGCAUUUCCCAAUUUGUUAAAACUCUGAUAGCAUCACUCCUAGUAAGCCGAAUAUUGCACAGAAAUGCACCAACGUAGAUGAAUUGAAUGGAGGAAUAAAACACACAGCAAAUUUCCUCCCAAACCCGAUAUCACAUACACCAAUCCAAUUCGAACUAAAAAAGCAAGUAAAACAGUUAUCAUAUUCAAAAUUGGCACAUAGAAGAACCAGACGCCAAUAACCAGAACCUUACCAAAACCAAAUUUCUUCUUCAAGAGGAAUU